Molecule: ribosomal RNA, 301 nt
Filed under: uncultured bacterium
Lineage: Bacteria
Description: partial 16S ribosomal RNA
Rfam family: Bacterial small subunit ribosomal RNA
Source: RNAcentral
CAGCCGCCACGGUAAUACGUAGGGCGCAAGCGUUGUCCGGAAUUAUUGGGCGUAAAGAGCUCGUAGGCGGUCUGUCGCGUCUGGUGUGAAAUCCCGAGGCUCAACCUCGGGCUUGCAUCGGGUACGGGCAGACUAGAGUGCGGUAGGGGAGACUGGAAUUCCUGGUGUAGCGGUGGAAUGCGCAGAUAUCAGGAGGAACACCGAUGGCGAAGGCAGGUCUCUGGGCCGCAACUGACGCUGAGGAGCGAAAGCAUGGGGAGCGAACAGGAUUAGAUACCCCGGUAGUCCCUGUCUCUUAUAC